AUCCCUGGCGUGAAACAACUAGGCCAAACCAAUAGCGCAUCUCCUAUGCAACUGAAUAUCAACCCUGUCAAUAUGCGUCUGGAGAAUCUGUAUCUGAAAAAUAAGACCGUCAAUCAUGAUUAUUGCCCAGCUCUGAUCCAAGAUUCCAAGCAAACAGAAGCACAGAGAAGCAGUGAAGAAGUAUUCUAGCUUACACUUACAUUUUCAGGAAGAAGAGCAAUCAUCGGUAUGUACGUCACAAGGCCGACGCAGAACGUUAUAUUCUGCCUCGCAAUAAAUCGAUCCUCUUCUUUGUUUCCAACGGAAAAUUGCACUUACGAGAUCAAUCGAGAAUUUCGCGCGAUCUGUGGAGUGCGAAAAUCGUUAAAAAGAACAAACUUGGCGGGAAGUUUAAAAAUAUGUGCGUUACCGAUUAGGGAAAAAAGUGACCUGAAAAUAAGCAUGUAAGCGAGGUCGUAUGAUAAAUGGCUAGCACCUACGAGUAGCCACGGAAAUGUAACAUUGACUCGAUUAACUCGUAUCUUCCGCUCAGUUAAACGCUUGCUCGUUAAAAGUAUCAUUUUGUAGAUAUAAUAUGACAUAUGUAUGGUAACUCACAGAACUAUUUAAAUAUCUAUAAACAUUCUGUAUGAAUAUAUUAUGCGUGUUAUAUAUUACACACAUUUUCUAAACAUUUUCGGAUUUUAUUACCACCAUAAUGAGUCGUAACUACCAUGAUUAUAUUGGUAAAAUUUCAGCCUAAUGUAAAAAUAUACAUAGA
Long non-coding RNA from Bombus terrestris (buff-tailed bumblebee), 760 nucleotides. RefSeq lists it as uncharacterized. The transcript has 3 exons. The record is from RefSeq and is a predicted model, not a curated record. NCBI's taxonomy places the organism in Eukaryota, Metazoa, Arthropoda, Insecta, Hymenoptera, Apidae.